Molecule: long non-coding RNA, 2549 nt
Organism: Daphnia pulex (common water flea)
Lineage: Eukaryota; Metazoa; Arthropoda; Branchiopoda; Diplostraca; Daphniidae
Exons: 4
Source: RefSeq, a predicted model, not a curated record
GUCCACGCCUGUCUGUCGGGUGAGAAUCGCUCACGUCGUAUAAAAUCUAGUGUCUAUCACAACUUUAAUUAAGGUUUAAUAUGAAGCUGCUAAUAGUAAUAGUUUAUUUUAUUCUAUUAAGGUUCCAGACCUCCAAUUGUUUUAGUUGGGAAAUGUGGAGUAGGCCUACCAGUGGAGCUCAAAAGUGGGAAGCCAGCAGAAGUGGAAACAGCUCAGGCAUUGCUUUAAUCUUCUCAUGUCUUUUUACACGCCAAGUUUCUGGAAUAUAUGUUUGAUUAACUGUGUAGGUGUUGAAGUAGAGAAGACAGGGGAAAUUCUUCUAGUGGAAAAAGUGUUCUGAACUAUUUUGAGAAAGCACCAUUUUCUACAUAACGAGAAAUUUAGAAUAAAGAAAGUGUGUGUUGAAAUUUUGUGGGUGGUUAAGUGUGAGUGCAUCAUCACAGACAGACAAUUUCAAACUUAUCUUCUGCAGGAUUUUUUCUAAAAUUAAAAAACCAACUGUAUUUAGCAUUAUUAGCUCUUUACUAGGAUCUCACCGUGUGUAAAGCCAGUAAAGACCUUUUUACAUACUAAGUGAAACCUGGUGAAACUGAAGAACAUAAAGAAAAGAAAGUACAAAUCAAGAUUUGGAAUAUUUGGGUUACGACCGACAUCGGCGCAAAUACUGAUUAAUUGUAAAAACGAAUUUUUAUCGAAGAAACUGGCAGCCUGGAGGAAACCGCUUGUGGCUGUUGAAUUGACAGGUGGCUCCCACAAUAUAGCUGACAGAAGAAUGCAAAAUCAAAUCCUAUCUCUAAUUUUGCUAGAGAUGACUUUCAAAUGGUCGUCAACGUUGAAAAAGAGGAAGAAUCUGAACCCAAAGUAGAGCCAGAAGAACUUCUAAUACUAGUUUGCCAGCAGCCAUCGGAACUUAUACGCGCUCCAAGACGGCAUUAUUAUGGCAUGCCCUUGUUGGCUUGGUUCUGGUGGAGUCAUCACGGAAGAAAGCAGUGGUACACCCACCAAAUCAAAAUCUCCUUACCAACCGACGUCAUUCUCAAGUGGAUAUGCAAGGCCGGCAGCUGACGUAUGUAAACCAGUACACGAUCAAUCCCCUUGCGGUCAGUAAGAACUGGACGUCAGACGAGAGACACUGUUAAUGUAACUUGUCGCUCAAGUUUUCCGUCAUCAAACCUUCAUCACUUACAUUACACGUGACCUGGUGGCCCAGAUUUAGAAACACCAAGGGGUAUGAAAUUCAUCUCAACGGUCAAUUGAGUUGGACCGUAACACGAAGUGUAGCAUCUAACCCGAUUUCAUUCAAAAUUUCCAUCACGGCCCCAAGAAUAACUCGCCUGCUUGGAUCUACCCAUUGGAGAGAACUCAACUGUGGCUCACUUAACUGUUGCUGUUGAGCUGUUCCUUGGUGAUGGUUACGUGUUACGGCAGAUGCAUCCAGUAGGCUAUUUUGGUUAAUUGUCUUUGUGUCCAUGCAGUUAACCAUUUUUAUUUGAAGAAGAAACAAACAAAAAAAUGGGGAGUGUUUAUGUCCAACAAAUAAUCAACAUUUCUUUGCGAUUGGGAAAGUAACAAGAGGAAGUUGGGGAGAGGGAGAACUGACUUCCAUUUUUCUAAAGAUUUUGAUGUUUAUUGUUAAUGAAAACCGAUGCGGUGGGUAACUAAGGAUAAAAGCUUUAUUAACGGAAACUUGGGCAUUGAUCUUGGAUGUUGAAACUGGUGAGGGAAGUCUUCCCCGAAUGCCUAAACGCAAGAUAGUAGGAACGCCUAAAUUGUCGCAACCCAUUGUCAUAGGAAUGAAGAUUUUGGUUGGAACUUGAGGUUUCUGCUAAGGGUUAACACAAGGGCUGCUAGUACGAUGAGUCGAUGACCUUAUCUUUCUUAACUUAUGGGCCAAUCACUCAAAGACCGUGAAGAAACUAAAGCUCGGGCCAAUAACUAUUGUGCGUACUACCUAACUAGAAAUAUAGCUCGCUUAAAUUCGGGAAAAAUUUAUUAAUAAAAAAUUAACCCGUCAUCUAAAGAACACUGAUCCUGCAACAACAACGGGUAUUGUUCGUCAAACACUCUCUGCCUGAGGCUGAAUGAGGUUAUUUCGCCUGGAAGUAAUUUGUAUUUUGUAGGUGUUGGUGUUUACGCAGCUUCGACAAUUGGAAUUCUUAUUAUCCUGGAGUGUGGUGGUGAGAUAUUGUUCUCCUUGUUGUGUGAUAAGUGGAUUGUAUGACUACGCUGUAGACAAGUGUAGUUUUGGGCACCUUAUUUGUUUCCGUUUCCCUAACUAACCAGGAUUUAACGCCAGCCCGGUGGUCACUCACCCGCGGUGAAAGUAGUGAGAUGAGAAGUAGAUCGAACGGGGACUUGGAAGGUUCAUAAAUCAUGACUCUUUUCUUUCCUUUUCAGUUUGUGUUCCAAUCAAGGCAAAGUCUCUAUUGAUUGACUGAACUUUGUAAGGAAAAUUGAAUGUAUCAUAUUGUAUAAAAUAAUUUUAAUGAAUGUAAGAAGAAUGAUUAAAAUAUGUGAAAUAAAUGUACAUAAUAGCAGAAAAAUAAAUG